Molecule: ribosomal RNA, 439 nt
Filed under: uncultured bacterium
Lineage: Bacteria
Description: bacterial SSU rRNA
Rfam family: Bacterial small subunit ribosomal RNA
Source: RNAcentral
GCUAAACGCGAAGAACCUUACCAGGCCUUGACAUGCAGAGAACUUUCCAGAGAUGGAUUGGUGCCUUCGGGAACUCUGACACAGGUGCUGCAUGGCUGUCGUCAGCUCAUGUCGUGAGAUGUUGGGUUAAGUCCCGUAACGAGCGCAACCCUUGUCCUUAGUUACCAGCAUGUUAUGGUGGGCACUCUAAGGAGACUGCCGGUGACAAACCGGAGGAAGGUGGGGAUGACGUCAAGUCAUCAUGGCCCUUACGGCCUGGGCUACACACGUGCUACAGUGGUCGGUACAGAGGGUUGCCAAGCCGCGAGGUGGAGCUAAUCCCACAAAACCGAUCGUAGUCCGGAUCGCAGUCUGCAACUCGACUGCGUGAAGUCGGAAUCGCUAGUAAUCGCGAAUCAGAAUGUCGCGGUGAAUACGUUCCCGGGUCUUGUACACACCG